Molecule: ribosomal RNA, 253 nt
Filed under: uncultured bacterium
Lineage: Bacteria
Description: partial 16S ribosomal RNA
Rfam family: Bacterial small subunit ribosomal RNA
Source: RNAcentral
UACGGGGGGGGCAAGCGUUGUUCGGAAUUACUGGGCGUAAAGGGCUCGUAGGUGGCCAACUAAGUCAGACGUGAAAUCCCUCGGCUUAACCGGGGAACUGCGUCUGAUACUGGAUGGCUUGAGUUCGGGAGAGGGAUGCGGAAUUCCAGGUGUAGCGGUGAAAUGCGUAGAUAUCUGGAGGAACACCUGUGGCGAAGGCGGCCUUCUGGACGAUGACUGACGCUGAGACGCGAAAGCGUGGGGAGCAAACAGG